CGUUAUGAUAAGUAUGUCUAGUGGAGGGGGCUUCCUACUGCCAACACUGCAAGACACCAUGUUGUCUGACACCAGGCCAUUAGGCUGUUCUUGUCUUGAGUCAAACCAUGUUGUCUGACACCAGGCCAUUAGGCUGUUCUUGUCUUGAGUCAAGACACCAUAUUGCCUGACACUGUUAGGUUCUACUCCGGUACGGUACUCGGAUACGGAGGCAGAGAAAAUCUCCGACCAGAUGUAUUCACCCAACAGGAUACCCUCAGCUGUAUAGCAGCACAGUGCUACAGAGCCAGUCUUAUCUACAGUACCUGGGGUGAAUGUCUCAGCAGGAUGGGACAGGCUGGACCAGAUGGCUGUUUGGCUCUGAUCUCCCUUCAGAUACCAUUCUGAUAUCUGCAUCUUGUCAUUCUCACUUCUCUCCCCAACUGCUACGUUGAAAGCCAUCAUCUCACUUCCCACAGAAACUAGCCAUUUGGACAGUAACUUAACCUUGACCCUAUCAUAACCCUGACAGAAGGUUUCUAUUGACCUUUAGGGAAUCAUUCAUGCAGUCCGAAGCAGUCCCCUAUCCCUAUGCCUAAAUACAAUGCACAUAGAUUCACCCAAUCCCAUAACAGGAUGAUUACUACGGAUUAUUCUAGAAAAGGUUAUAGUGUCAUAACGGCCUCCAACAGCACCGUUGAAUUUGUCUUACAAUGUUGGGAAAAGCUUUCUCCAAUAUUCUGCUAUUUUAUACUGAAAGAUACAUUUCUGUAGCUCAAAGAAAGGAAAACCGCUUAUGAUCGGCAGAUAUUUUAUUUUGAUUUAACCUUUAUUUAACUAGGCAAGUCAGUUAAGAACAAAUUCUUAUUUACAAUGACGGCCUACCAAAAGGCAAAAAGACCUGAGGGGACAGGGGCUGGGAUUAAAAAUAUCUUUCUAUUAUGGUUUUAUUUGGUAAAUCAAGUGAGGUUGGUUGCAUAAAACAAGUAUGAAAGACUAUUUUACUAUAUACAAAUUACACUUCCAUCAGAGGUUAAUGUUUGUGAAUAUAUAAAGCACAUUAUAUUUGCAUAUCAGUCAAUACAUUGACAGAUCUGUCUUGGGGAUUUAACCAGAAGCUAACUAAAUGCUAUUGUCGAUCCAUAGACUACAAUACUAGCGUUGUAGCCAUUAGAUUACGUGAAUGUGUCAUGCCUUGCUACCCAGGAACCAAACACAUAGAACAGAAGGGACCAGGGAAAAACAAACAAGGAUCAUUAUGUUCCAGAAGUGCUUUUAUCUUUAGACUGAGCAGCAGUUUUUCCAGGUCACUGGGUAGUUGUGUGUGGGUGGGAACAUACUUCUCACAGAGAGAAAAAGGGAGGGAGAGAAUCAGUCUGUCUCUCUAGCUCUGAACCAGGUAACAGGUUGCUGCUGCCUGUCUCUCUAGCUCUGAACCAGGUAACAGGUUUCUGCUGCCUGUCUCUCUCUAGCUCUGAACCAGGUAACAGGUUUCUGCUGCCUGUCUCUCUAGCUCUGAACCAGGUAACAGGUUUCUGCUGCCUGUCUCUCUCUAGCUCUGAACCAGGUAACAGGUUUCUGCUGCCUGUCUCUCUAGCUCUGAACCAGGCAUCAGGUUUCUGCUGCCUGUCGGCCUGUCUCUCUAGCUCUGAACCAGGUAACAGGUUUCUGCUGCCUGUCGGCCUGUCUCUCUCUAGCUCUGAACCAGGCAUCAGAUUUCUGCUGCCUGUCUCUCUAGCUCUGAACCAGGCAACAGGUUUCUGCUGCCUGUCGGCCUGUCUCUCUCUAGCUCUGAACCAGGCAUCAGGUUUCUGCUGCCUGUCGGCCUGUCUCUCUCUAGCUCUGAACCAGGUAACAGGUUUAUGCUGCCUGUCGGCCUGUCUCUCUCUAGCUCUGAACCAGGCAUCAGGUUUCUGCUGCCUGUCGGCCUGUCUCUCUCUAGCUCUGAACCAGGCAUCAGGUUUCUGCUGCCUGUCUCUCUCUAGCUCUGAACCAGGUAACAGGUUUCUGCUGCCUGUGGGCCUGUCUCUCUCUAGCUCUGAACCAGGCAACAGGUUUCUGCUGCCUGUCGGCCUGUCUCUCUCUAGCUCUGAACCAGGCAUCAGGUUUCUGCUGCCUGUCGGCCUGUCUCUCUCUAGCUCUGAACCAGGCAUCAGGUUUCUGCUGCCUGUCGGCCUGUCUCUCUAGCUCUGAACCAGGCAUCAGGUUUCUGCUGCCUGUCGGCCUGUCUCUCUCUAGCUCUGAACCAGGCAUCAGGUUUCUGCUGCCUGUCGGCCUGUCUCUCUCUAGCUCUGAACCAGGCAUCAGGUUUCUGCUGCCUGUCUGCCUGUCUCUCUCUAGCUCUGAACCAGGCAACAGGUUUCUGCUGCCUGUCUCUCUAGCUCUGAACCAGGUAACAGGUUUCUGUUUUAUUCAACUCAUGAAUGAAUGUUCCCAUAUUGCUGCCUGGCAACCAGCCAGUAUCAGGAGAAAAGGGAACAUCUUGUUCCGUUAGUUAUGCUGCACAGAGUAGAACAGGCUGUGGCCAAAGUUAUGAAAUGAAGAAAGGAAGGGAGGGGAAAAUUAACAAUAGAAAAAGGAGAGUAGGAGCAGAGGGUGUAUAACUGGACUGUGUGUUUGAUUGAAUUCAUAUCUUAUACCAAUGUAUGGAAUAAUAUAAAGGGAGGGUCUUUUCAAUCCAUAUCGCGGAAGUUCAGCGUUACGUCACGAUUUAAAUUUAAAAGGCAAUGUUAGUGGAGAGUGCAUUCACGGUAAACGCUGUAAUAUGUCGACUCAAUCAGAAAUGACCUUUAAAUUUAUAGCGUGCAAUCUGUAACGCCUCAGCGAAUAGAGAUUGAAUAAAGGCUGAAGUCUGUUUUUAGAGAGCGCUUGCAGAAAUGGCAUUUUUCAGGGUAGGAUAGGGAGUGACGCAAAAUGUAAAACAUGUUCGACACCGACUGGCUUGAUCAAGUCCAUAUUUCUGUGCUGAGAGGACAGACAGAGUGGAAGAUGUCUUCUCCCUCGUCUUCCUCUUGGAGUCUUUCCCUCUUUGUGUUUCAACCUGUUGAUUGGUGGUGGUGUGACUCUACUGGACCGCUCUGUUGGCUGGGGGGCGCUGGACCGGGGGCGCUGGACCCGGGGCGCUGGACCGGGGACGCUGGACCGGGGGCGCUGGACCGGGAGCUGGACCGGGGAGCUGGACCGGGGAGCUGGACUGGGGGGCGCUGGACCGGGGUGCUGGACGGGAGCACUGGGCGAGGGCGGUGGGCUGGACGGGGCGGUGGGCUGGACGGGGCGGUGCAUGGUUUGGGGCUCCCCCAGAACCACACUGACCCACCUUCCUUUAGAUAUUCCCC
Molecule: long non-coding RNA, 3314 nt
Filed under: Salmo salar (Atlantic salmon)
Lineage: Eukaryota; Metazoa; Chordata; Actinopteri; Salmoniformes; Salmonidae
Description: lncRNA (ENSSSAG00000090817.1, ENSSSAG00000110744.1)
Source: RNAcentral